RNAcentral lists this ribosomal RNA (253 nucleotides) under uncultured bacterium. RNAcentral describes it as "partial 16S ribosomal RNA". It matches the Rfam family "Bacterial small subunit ribosomal RNA", at positions 524 to 776 of the family's 1533-position model. The record is from RNAcentral.
UACGUGGGGAGCAAGCGUUGUCCGGAAUCAUUGGGCGUAAAGCGCGCGUAGGCGGCCCUGUAAGUCCGUUGUGAAAGUCAAAGGCUCAACCUUUGAAAGCCGAUGGAUACUGCAGGGCUAGAGUCCGGAAGAGGCGAGUGGAAUUCCUGGUGUAGCGGUGGAAUGCGCAGAUAUCAGGAGGAACACCAAUAGCGAAGGCAGCUCGCUGGGACGGUACUGACGCUAAGGCGCGAAAGCGUGGGGAGCGAACAGG